GAUGAACGCUGGCGGCGUGCCUAAUACAUGCAAGUCGAGCGAACAGACGAGGAGCUUGCUCCUCUGACGUUAGCGGCGGACGGGUGAGUAACACGUGGAUAACCUACCUAUAAGACUGGGAUAACUUCGGGAAACCGGAGCUAAUACCGGAUAAUAUAUUGAACCGCAUGGUUCAAUAGUGAAAGACGGUUUUGCUGUCACUUAUAGAUGGAUCCGCGCCGCAUUAGCUAGUUGGUAAGGUAACGGCUUACCAAGGCAACGAUGCGUAGCCGACCUGAGAGGGGGAUCGGCCACACUGGAACUGAGACACGGUCCAGACUCCGACGGGAGGCAGCAGUAGGGAAUCUGCCGCAAUGGGCGAAAGCCUGACGGAGCAACGCCGCGUGAGUGAUGAAGGUCUUCGGAUCGUAAAACUCUGUUAUUAGGGAAGAACAAAUGUGUAAGUAACUAUGCACGUCUUGACGGUACCUAAUCAGAAAGCCACGGCUAACUACGUG
This 497-nucleotide ribosomal RNA is filed under the name uncultured bacterium. RNAcentral's name for it is "partial 16S ribosomal RNA". It matches the Rfam family "Bacterial small subunit ribosomal RNA", at positions 28 to 507 of the family's 1533-position model. The record is from RNAcentral.